UUCCGGUUGAUCCUGCCGGAGGUCACCGCUAUUGGAAUUCGCUUAAGCCAUGCAAGUCUAAAGGACUUCGGUCCUUGGCGGACUGCUCAGUAACACGCGGAUAAUCUGCCCUCGGGAGGGGGAUAAGCUCGGGAAACUGAGUAUAAUACCCCAUAGGCGUAGGAUACUGGAAUGUUCUUACGCUGAAAGUUCCGACGCCCGAGGAUGAGUCUGUGGCCUAUCAGGCUGUAGUGAGUGUAACGGACUCACUAACCGACGACGGGUACGGGCCUUGAGAGAGGUCGCCCGGAGAUGGACUCUGAGACAUGAGUCCAGGCCCUACGGGGCGCAGCAGGCGCGAAAACUUCACAAUGUGGGCAACCACGAUGAGGGAAUUCCAAGUGCUCAUGCUUUGCAUGUGCUGUUUCUUAGCCUAAGUGGCUGGGAGAGUAAGGGCUGGGUAAGACGGGUGCCAGCCGCCGCGGUAAUACCCGCAGCCCGAGUGGUGAUCGGUUUUAUUGGGCCUAAAGCGUCCGUAGCCGGUCUGGUAAAUCUUUGGGUAAAUUGGGCAGCUUAACUGUCCGAAUUCCAAAGAGACUGCCAGACUUGGGACUGGGAGAGGCCAGAGGUACUCCAGGGGUAGGGGUGAAAUCCUGUAAUCCUUGGGGGACCACCAGUGGCGAAGGCGUCUGGCUAGAACGGGUCCGACGGUAAGGGACGAAGCCC
Molecule: ribosomal RNA, 705 nt
Filed under: uncultured archaeon
Lineage: Archaea
Description: bacterial SSU rRNA
Rfam family: Archaeal small subunit ribosomal RNA
Source: RNAcentral